GAUGAACGCUGGCGGCGUGCCUAAUACAUGCCAGUCGAGCGAACGGACGAGAAGCUUGCUUCUCUGAUGUUAGCGGCGGACGGGUGAGUAACACGUGGAUAACCUACCUAUAAGACUGGGAUAACUUCGGGAAACCGGAGCUAAUACCGGAUAAUAUUUUGAACCGCAUGGUUCAAAAGUGAAAGACGGUCUUGCUGUCACUUAUAGAUGGAUCCGCGCUGCAUUAGCUAGUUGGUAAGGUAACGGCUUACCAAGGCAACGAUGCAUAGCCGACCUGAGAGGGUGAUCGGCCACACUGGAACUGAGACGCGGUCCAGACUCCUACGGGAGGCAGCAGUAGGGAAUCGUCCGCAAUGGGCGAAAGCCUGACGGAGCAACGCCGCGUGAGUGAUGAAGGUCUUCGGAUCGUAAAACUCUGUUAUUAGGGAAGAACAUAUGUGUAAGUAACUGUGCACAUCUUGACGGUAUCUAAUCAGAAAGCCACGGCUAACUACGUG
This 497-nucleotide ribosomal RNA is filed under the name uncultured bacterium. RNAcentral's name for it is "partial 16S ribosomal RNA". It matches the Rfam family "Bacterial small subunit ribosomal RNA", at positions 28 to 507 of the family's 1533-position model. The record is from RNAcentral.